CCCAGUGAACAAUUAAACGGCCGCGGUAUCCUAACCGUGCAAAGGUAGCAUAAUCAUUUGUCUAUUAAUUGUAGACCUGUAUGAAAGGCAAAAUGAGGGUUUAACUGUCUCUUGUAAUAAACCUAUUAAACUGAUCUUUUAGUAAAAAAGCUAAAAUACCCCCAUAAGACCAGAAGACCCUGUGAAGCUUGAACUAAACCGUUAAACCAAAUAACGAUUAAUUUCGGUUGGGGCAACCUUGGAAAUAAAAACAACUUCCAACUUAAAAACUAACCAAACGGCCUACAAGCCAAUUAACGACCCAGUAAGACUGACAACUGAACAAAGUUACUCCAGGGAUAACAGCGCUAUCUUCUUCAAGAGUCCAUAUCAAAAAGAAGGUUUACGACCUCGAUGUUGGAUCAGGACAUCCUAUUGGUGCAACCGCUAUUAAGGGUUCGUUUGUUCAACGACUAACGUCCUACGUGAUCUGAGUUCAGACC
This 482-nucleotide ribosomal RNA is filed under the name Limnophis bangweolicus. Its description in RNAcentral is "partial large subunit ribosomal RNA". It matches the Rfam family "Bacterial large subunit ribosomal RNA", at positions 1908 to 2617 of the family's 2925-position model. The record is from RNAcentral. Lineage: Eukaryota; Metazoa; Chordata; Lepidosauria; Squamata; Natricidae.